RNAcentral lists this unclassified non-coding RNA (283 nucleotides) under Hevea brasiliensis (rubber tree). Lineage: Eukaryota; Viridiplantae; Streptophyta; Magnoliopsida; Malpighiales; Euphorbiaceae. The record is from RNAcentral.
GCCUGACCCACCACCUUCUCAGUUCCCCUCUUCUCAGUUCUUCUCAUCAACGACGCCGACGCCAAGAGCUUUACCUCCUCAGGACGUCACGUACCCUCUGCUCUCCUGCCCGACCGACGCAACAUCUCCUCGUCUGCUGUACUCCUGCUGUAAUUUAAUUAAGAAUUGCUUGAGCAUUAAGAUGGCUUUGAGAGGUGUGUGGCAACUUCAAAAGCUGAUUGUGAGCUAUUGUGACUGGGGAGGAAGUAGUAGGGGCAUCAGGGCAUUUAUGGAGUCACAACUG